RNAcentral lists this non-coding RNA (45 nucleotides) under Methylovorus glucosotrophus. RNAcentral describes it as "Methylovorus glucosetrophus Guanidine-II sequence". It matches the Rfam family "Guanidine-II riboswitch aptamer (mini-ykkC)". Rfam says of the family: Simpler in structure and has fewer highly conserved nucleotide positions than the ykkC-yxkD leader. Despite this each of its two stem-loop structures directly bind free guanidine. Therefore, mini-ykkC RNA motif represents a distinct class of guanidine-sensing RNAs. RNAcentral also lists the same sequence under 1 other name. Lineage: Bacteria; Pseudomonadati; Pseudomonadota; Betaproteobacteria; Nitrosomonadales; Methylophilaceae. The record is from RNAcentral.
UCACCGGGACGGCCCGGUGAGAUCUAUACCCAGCGGGACGGCCCG